UGGGGAAUCUUGGACAAUGGGGGCAACCCUGAUCCAGCGACGCCGCGUGGGUGAUGAAGGCCUUCGGGUUGUAAAGCCCUUUCGACGGGGACGAUGAUGACGGUACCCGGCGAAGAAGCACCGGCUAACUCCGUGCCAGCAGCCGCGGUAAGACGGAGGGUGCUAGCGUUGUUCGGAAUCACUGGGCGUAAAGGGCGCGUAGGCGGCCAGGCAAGUCGGCUUGUGAAAGCCCGGGGCUCAACCCCGGAGGUGCGGCCGGGACUGCUUGGCUGGAGGCCGGAAGAGGAGGGUGGAAUACCCAGUGUAGAGGUGAAAUUCGUAGAUAUUGGGUGGAACACCGGUGGCGAAAGCGGCUCUCUGGUCCGGACCUGACGCUGAGGCGCGAAAGCGUGGGGAGCAAACAGG
Molecule: ribosomal RNA, 405 nt
Filed under: uncultured bacterium
Lineage: Bacteria
Description: bacterial SSU rRNA
Rfam family: Bacterial small subunit ribosomal RNA
Source: RNAcentral